Molecule: ribosomal RNA, 253 nt
Filed under: uncultured bacterium
Lineage: Bacteria
Description: partial 16S ribosomal RNA
Rfam family: Bacterial small subunit ribosomal RNA
Source: RNAcentral
UACGGAGGGGGCGAGUGUUGUUCGGAAUUACUGGGCGUAAAGGGCGCGCAGGCGGCUUGGCAAGUCGAGUGUGAAAUACCUCAGCUUAACUGAGGAACGGCGCUCGAAACUACCUCGCUUGAGGGCGGGAGAGGGAAGUGGAACUCUCGGUGUAGGGGUGAAAUCUGUAGAUAUCGAGAGGAACACCGGUGGCGAAGGCGGCUUCCUGGCCCGUACCUGACGCUGAGGCGCGAAAGCGUGGGGAGCAAACAGG